Molecule: non-coding RNA, 143 nt
Organism: Pelobates cultripes (western spadefoot toad)
Lineage: Eukaryota; Metazoa; Chordata; Amphibia; Anura; Pelobatidae
Source: the annotation of a GenBank genome assembly
ACUAGGGGACACUGGGAGAAAUGGGGACACUGAGAGACAUAGGGACAUUGGGAGACACUGAGACACUAGGGGCCCAGUAUCCCCAUGUCUCCCAGCGUCCCCUAGUCUCCCAGUGUCCCCUAGUCUCCCAGUGUCUGUGUCCC